UCCGGUUUGUCACCGGCAGUCCCAUUAGAGUGCCCAACUGAAUGUAGCAACUAAUGGCAAGGGUUGCGCUCGUUGCGGGACUUAACCCAACAUCUCACGACACGAGCUGACGACAGCCAUGCAGCACCUGUGUCCAGGUUCCCUUUCGGGCACACCCCCAUCUCUGGAGGCUUCCUGGCAUGUCAAGGGUAGGUAAGGUUUUUCGCGUUGCAUCGAAUUAAUCCACAUAAUCCACCGCUUGUGCGGGUCCCCGUCAAUUCCUUUGAGUUUUAACCUUGCGGCCGUACUCCCCAGGCGGUCAACUUCACGCGUUAGCUUCGUUACCAAGGAAUUGCUUCCCCAACAACCAGUCGACAUCGUUUAGGGCGUGGACUAC
This 376-nucleotide unclassified non-coding RNA is filed under the name uncultured Gammaproteobacteria bacterium. Its description in RNAcentral is "contains 16S-23S intergenic spacer region". The record is from RNAcentral. Lineage: Bacteria; Pseudomonadati; Pseudomonadota; Gammaproteobacteria.